Molecule: long non-coding RNA, 636 nt
Organism: Neopsephotus bourkii (Bourke's parrot)
Lineage: Eukaryota; Metazoa; Chordata; Aves; Psittaciformes; Psittacidae
Exons: 2
Source: RefSeq, a predicted model, not a curated record
ACAAUCCAGCAUUGGCUUGGUUGUCUGGUUCUGUGUAGGAGCUGUUAAUAUCUGCAGUCACAAAUCUCACUUCUGACAUAAGUGCUACAUCACUUUAGGUUUUUGAUACACGAUCACUGUUCAAAGCAGCUGGGGUAAUCCUGACCAGUCACGCUCCAUGAGAUAAUAAAAGUGAAAAGGUUUUUCUUGCAGGAUCACAUCUAGUGCCGGCCGUUGUUGUUCACGUGCUUUGAAAUGGAGACUGCUGUGUGCUUUCCCACUGAUUUCCACCCAGGCUUUUUUAAGUUGGCAUUUCCUGGCAAAAUGCUGAGCAACUAGAACUGCGUUAGACCUUUCACAAGAAAGUACCUGCUCCUUCUGGUCUUGCAACAUGACAGAAAACACAGUUUCCUUUUUUAGGAAGCUCUUGCAUGAAGAUCAGCUGUUGUGGUUUGGUACAUGAAUGAGAGAGACUCUUGUUAUACCUGGUACCUCAUCUGCUCUACAGUCUUACAUGGUUGUAAGAUAAAGAACUGUGAUGUGCAACAAGGCAACUUGGAUCUCAAAGCCUGAUCUAAACACGAGUAAAGCAAGAACUUUGGUGGAUGUAGCAUCAGACCCCUUUUGCUGCCUUAUCCCCAAGGAGCAAGAUCUAAG